This is a long non-coding RNA of Chelonoidis abingdonii (Abingdon island giant tortoise), 892 nucleotides long. RefSeq lists it as uncharacterized. Lineage: Eukaryota; Metazoa; Chordata; Testudines; Testudinidae. The record is from RefSeq and is a predicted model, not a curated record.
UCUCCACUGGGGUCUCUAGGCAUGGCUGUGUGUGUUCUGUGUCGGUGCAGCACCUGCCCGGCUCUGUGACUGACUCCUAGACCCUACACCUAGUAAAGAACGUACAGCUCCAUGCACAGCGGGGUCCUGGUUCAUAACUGGGGUUCCUAGGUGUUACCGUAAUACACCUCAUAAAUAACACACCCACAGAUGAAUAAGUGACUCGGAAAAUCUGCCAUGGAAAAACAUUCAGCUGAUCUGAGCCUUCCAAUCAUCUCGGCGCCUGACACAACCAGGAGAAAGUGCAGAAUGGCUGGGGAAGAAUGACUUUAAACAGCCCUGCAAAGAGAGAACCUCCGGCAGAGAUGAGCUCGCUCAGCGAGGAACUCGCCAAAGAGCACGUGCCUUGGAGCGACUCCACCGAAUUACAGCAUUUUGUUCUCCAGGUACCACUAUUUCAUUCUUUUCUGAGCUCGAGUUUAGUCCCGGAUUUCCAACUGACAACUUGGGGUUUGGGGCAUCGGGUUGGAAAUACAUGAGCUCCCCUUUGGUGCCAGCGGCAGGAGAGUGAAGUAAUUGUAGAGAGUUAGUGCUUCCCAUCGCAGGGUGCCAGCUGGGGCAGAUCCACCACCGUCUCCUUUAUGCAAAUAAGCUGUAAAAAUACCUCUGGAGAAACUGCUUGUGGCAUUAAUGCUCUACCGGGGCAUUCCGCUCAGAGCUGAUUAAUCACAGCAGCACAGACCUGCUGGCAUUUAGUUUGAAAUGGGCCGAGUCAACAAUGCAGCAAGGGAAGAAAUGAACCACAGGGAGAGAAGUAAUUGGGGGAAAAUGAGGGGAGGAAUUUGAGCAGGGGUAGCAAAGUCCAGUCGGUUCAGAAGGAAGCGGAUUAGCACAGGGCUGGGAUAGCAGUGAG